AGCAGCCGCGGUAAUUCCAGCUCCAAUAGCGUAUAUUAAAGUUGUUGCAGUUAAAAAGCUCGUAGUUGAAUUUCGGGAUCAAUAUGUUGGUCGUGCCUCGGUACGUACUAGCUUAUUGGUUUCUCCUUUCUGAAGAACCAUGAUGUCAUUUAUUUGGUGUCGUGGGGAAUCAGGACUGUUACUUUGAAAAAUUAGAGUGUUUAAAGCAGGCUCACGCUUGAAUACAUUAGCAUGGAAUAAUGAAAUAGGACGUUUGAUUCUAUUUUGUUGGUUUCUAGGAUCGACGUAAUGAUUAAUAGGGAUAGUUGGGGGCAUUAGUAUUCAAUUGUCAGAGGUGAAAUUCUUGGAUUUAUUGAAGACUAACUACUGCGAAAGCAUUUGCCAAGGAUGUUUUCAUUAAUCAAGAACGAAAGUUAGGGGAUCGAAGACGAUCAGAUACCGUCGUAGUCUUAACCAUAAAC
This 461-nucleotide ribosomal RNA is filed under the name uncultured Glomus. RNAcentral describes it as "SSU rRNA". It matches the Rfam family "Eukaryotic small subunit ribosomal RNA", at positions 569 to 1037 of the family's 1831-position model. Lineage: Eukaryota; Fungi; Glomeromycota; Glomeromycetes; Glomerales; Glomeraceae. The record is from RNAcentral.